AUUGCAUCAAAUGCUAUUGAGUUUUGCAGCAGAGAGGUUUAUUAUUACUUUGUUUACUGUUUGUGUUCAUACGAAUUUAUUAUGCACUCCAUUUUCGUUAUUGUUUCUUUUUAAUACAGAUUGGCAGUCUAUGAAGUUCAGGGAUUUUACUGUCUGUCCUGUUCAUUAAGGCAAAAAUCUAUAAAGGCACUUAUACUUGCAAAGACCCAUUGUAGAGGUCUAGCUCCCAGAGUCAAAAUCCCACACCUGGAUUAGGCAAAUGCAUUUCCUGGUGCAUUCAGGGAGCUGAACACAUGGGACCAGAAUUUAAAACAGCCAAAUGAUGCCUGGCCUGAAGGUCUGGUAUUUGUAAAACAGCAUGGGAAAUGGAGAGAGGCCUGAAAUGGGAACGUUUAUGAUGUCAGAAUUCACCACAUGAAAUCAUCUGCUGGACUAGGGUGUUCCUGUGUUCUCUUUCCAUGCUGACAAACCAGUGUAUUCCUGUAUUUUGAAGGUGAUGGUUGUUAAAGAAUUUACCCCAAACUGGAGAAUUCAGUGCUCACUGCUGCCAGAAGUCAGAGCCAAUGUUCUCAUCUCACGGAGAAGUUCUAACCUGCAGGCUGGAGAUAAGUUUUCUCCUGUUAUGUCCGCCUGAAGCUAAGUCUAAGUGAUGAAGCCAUGAGAAUUCCUGAGUGGCAUUUGGUGUACAAUCAAAUCUACAGUAUCCAAGUGGCAUUACCCAAACUGAGAAAUUCUGAGUUGUCAUACAUGAGCAGUGGCUGCCAGCAUUGACAGUAGAAAAUGAAAAUGAAUGAAGAAGUUCUUCCAUAGCUGGAAGUCUGAGAUAAUACACUGGAGCUAAACAAGGAGGCCUCUGCAGCCAGAAGUGUAAUUUCCUCUUAUGUAUAGCAGUAGAAUUCACACUGCAACACCUCCUCAUUACUGCCGUCACCAAUUAUAUUCUGAAGGAAAAAAUGAUCUCUCAGUCACCCUUCUCCGGAAGAGAAAGAGUAGCAAGGGAAGAGGAAGGCUGACCUGGUAAGAGGUGUUGGAUUUAACAUGCACAAAGGACCUCUAAGAAGCAGAGAGAAGACAGAGAGGACAAUACAUCAUGUUUCAACUGCAAAGCAUAGCUGUUGUACUGAGCACUGAGAAAUAAAGACAGAGACAGAAAGAAAGAAAAGGAAUAAAAGAAAAAAAGUUUUGCUUUAGUCUUCGCCAUUGCAACUUCUAUUUUAUUUACAGAAUUAAAACAAAACACAAAGAAACAAAAACCACAAACAACCAAGCAAACAAACAAAGCAAACAAACAAAGCAAACAAACAAAACUGAGUGUCCUGAGUGACCUUUUGUUGCACCAACAUCAUGGCAUAUGUAUGACCCUAAGCCAUCAGUCAGGACGCGUUUUAUCAGUUAUCACCUAUGCCUCAUGAAGUUUCAGCCAGUUGAAUCUUCACUAACACUAAUCAUAGUACAGGGAUCCUGGAGUGAUCACUGGAGGAGAAGACAGAUAGUUUUUUAGGCCUUAUUGGUUGAAAGUAUGCCAGCUAGCUUAGACAUUAUACUCCUCUACUAUACACUUUUUUGGUAGAAGUUAGCCUAAACUGUCAUAUAUAAAAAUAGAAUUGAUGAUUUUAUGUUUUAAACUGUAUGCUUUUAUUUUAAAAAAGGGGUUUAUUUUAGACUUCUGAACAACAACAAAAAAGAAAAUAUGAUGAAAAAAUAGAUUUGUUUACAUAUACUUUUCUGCUAAAUGUUAUUGGAAUGGAUCUCACGUUAUUUUCAGGAAUUCUUCCAAAGACUUGUUAAUUCACAUCAUGUUCUAGAAAAUACUGAGUUACUCUGACAUUCCAGUCUUUCUAUUUUAAAUAAACAUGGUAUCUAUUAAAAGAUUUGAGAGGAAGGAAUCAUUUUUGUGGUAAGUGAUUGUGCUCCAAGUUCCAUUAAAUUCUGCUGUAAGAUUAAAAUCUUGCUAGGCUAUGUCAAGUGACUAAAUUAAGUGUAUUUUAGUUACCAUAAUUUGUGAUAUAUAAGUAUUAAUUAAUUAUUGAUUGACUCUGCUAUUUCCCUAUACUACAUUGUCAACUCUGUGUAAUAGCUUAUUAGGAAAUGUGUACACUGGAACCACUUGAACUUUAUAGUUUCUGGUGAUGAGUUUGUGUAAUCUUUCUAUAAAUACUUGAGUUGUUUUUAUUACUGGUAGGUGAGCUUUGGGAAAGAUCUAGCAUUGAAACAAACAAUUAAAAAAGUAUACGUUUUCUUCAGGAUGAAAUAUAAAAUUAAUUAUAGUCAAAACAGAGACACAUAAGUGUAACACUGUAUUACAGAUUUGGAUACCUGGAACUCCUGUACAGGCCCAGAAAAGAAGCUUGUUUUUCAUAAAUUUGGUGAAUCUGUAACUUCCAUCAGAGUUGCUGGACACUUUUACUGGCAUAAAAGAAAAUGUACAAAACAAAGCACUAUAGUACAGACAUCUUAGCUAAAAUAGUGUGUCAUUACAAGUCAUAUUUUCAUAAUGCUGAAGAUUAAAAGGAAAAAAUUGGGAGAAAAAUCAUGUUU
Molecule: long non-coding RNA, 2538 nt
Organism: Numida meleagris (helmeted guineafowl)
Lineage: Eukaryota; Metazoa; Chordata; Aves; Galliformes; Numididae
Exons: 3
Source: RefSeq, a predicted model, not a curated record